GUUGCGUUUCACGCUCUGGGAGCCCGGGUGUCAAAGCCCGACUCUCUUCACGGUCGGACAACAUCGCCGGAGUGGUGGUCGGUGCGUCGUUGUUGUAUCUGCGGCCAGAGUUGGAAAGUUCUUUCGGGUUCUUUUUUAAUUUUGGUCGUAGUUGACUCGAUUCGCUCCACCCAGUCAAUCGUUCGGGGUGCCCUUCACCGGGUGUCUCGGGCGGCCGGCAACGUUUACUUUGAACAAAUUAGAGUGCUCAAAGCAGGUGUAUCCCAACGCCUGAAUAUCGCAGCAUGGAAUGAUGGAAUAGGACCUCGGUCCGAUUUUGCUGGUCUUUUACUUUUGGACCCGAGGUAAUGGUCAAUAGAGACGGACGGGGGCAUUCGUACUGCGGCGACAGAGGUGAAAUUCUUGGACCGCCGCAAGACGAACAACAGCGAAGGCAUUUGCCAAGAAUGUUUUCCUUGAUCAAGAACGAAAGUUAGAGGUUCGAAGGCGAUCAGAUACCGCCCUAGUUCUAACCAUAAACGAUGCCAACCAGCAAUCCGUCGGAGUUACUCCAAUGACUCGACGGGCAGCUUCCGGGAAACCAAAGUCUUUGGGUUCCGGGGGAAGUAUGGUUGCAAAGCUGAAACUUAAAGGAAUUGACGGAAGGGCACCACCAGGAGUGGAGCCUGCGGCUUAAUUUGACUCAACACGGGAAACCUCACCAGGCCCGGACACUGGAAGGAUUGACAGAUUGAGAGCUCUUUCUUGAUUCGGUGGGUGGUGGUGCAUGNCCGUUCUUAGUUGGUGGAGCGAUUUGUCUGGUUAAUUCCGAUAACGAACGAGACUCUAGCCUGCUAAAUAGGUGACGGGUUUUAUCAAUUGAAACCGAAGGGAGUACGGAGGCGUCGGGAUCAGGUGGCGGCGAUUCGGGUCUCGGUGGGACUGGUUCCUUUAGUGAGGCAAUCUCUCGGCUUGGUUUCGUUGUGCUUUGUUCGUCGGGUGUACGGCCUUCACGGGUUGGUUGCCUGGCGGAUGAGGUAUGGCGGGGCUUUGUCGGGAAUGUCUCGCGGGGGCUGGCUCUAUUGUUAUUCGGUCGUCGUCAUCCCCGGCGAUACCUUCUGCUCUCGCGUCCGUCACGCAGUCUUCUUAGAGGGACAAGCGGCGUCCAGCCGCGUGACAGUGAGCAAUAACAGGUCUGUGAUGCCCUUAGAUGUCCUGGGCCGCACGCGCGCUACACUGAAGGAAUCAGCGUGUUUCACUCUCCCUGUCCGAAAGGACCGGGUAACCGCUGAACCUCCUUCGUGGUUGGGAUUGGGGACUGCAAUGAUCCCCAUGAACCAGGAAUCCCUAGUAGGCGCGGGUCACUAGCCCGCGUCGAUUACGUCCCUGCCCUUUGUACACACCGCCCGUCGCUACUACCGAUUGAAUGAUUUAGUGAGGCCUUCGGACGGGCUUGUCGGGGUGCCGUCGAGUGGGGAGCAAUCUCUGCCCGUGCGGUGCCUACCAACGGCGAGACUGAAAGAUGGUCGAACUUGAUCCUUUAGAGGAAGUA
Molecule: ribosomal RNA, 1531 nt
Filed under: Daphnia pulex (common water flea)
Lineage: Eukaryota; Metazoa; Arthropoda; Branchiopoda; Diplostraca; Daphniidae
Description: SSU rRNA
Rfam family: Eukaryotic small subunit ribosomal RNA
Source: RNAcentral